CAGCCGCCGCGGGAAUACGAAGGGUGCAAGCGUUACUCGGAAUUACUGGGCGUAAAGCGUGCGCAGGCGGUUAUAUAAGACAGAUGUGAAAUCCCCGGGCUCAACCUGGGAACUGCAUUUGUGACUGUAUAGCUAGAGUACGGCAGAGGGGGAUGGAAUUCCGCGUGUAGCAGUGAAAUGCGUAGAUAUGCGGAGGAACACCGAUGGCGAAGGCAAUCCCCUGGGCCUGUACUGACGCUCAUGCACGAAAGCGUGGGGAGCAAACAGGAUUAGAUACCCGUGUAGUCCCUGUCUCUUAUAC
This 301-nucleotide ribosomal RNA is filed under the name uncultured bacterium. RNAcentral's name for it is "partial 16S ribosomal RNA". It matches the Rfam family "Bacterial small subunit ribosomal RNA", at positions 509 to 807 of the family's 1533-position model. The record is from RNAcentral.